CAAAAGAGGGAAGAACAGAACAGAAUUGCAAGACGAAGAAGAAGAAGAUCAGAGUUCGCAAGAGGAAACGACAUCAUUCUGAUUAUUGCCGCUUCUACCGAUUCCAAUCUUCUUCCGCCUUUUUUUUUUUUUUUUUUUCCUUCUGUUUCCUCGGGUGUUACAGCCAAGCUUCAAUUUUUCAUCAUUCUGUAGGCGCCGAAGAGAUGAAGAUGUUGAAAUCUUAUAUCGUGAAAGCUGCUUUUAGAAACCAUGGCUAUAAUCUUUUCCAGUUCAUUCCACAGGUAAUGUUGUGCCUUGAACCUUAUCUUCUGUGGAUGCAUCUUUAUUAAUAUUGUUAAUUAUAUUGCUUUCCUAGAGGGGGGUGCACAUCAGAAACAAGGAGGCAACAGAGUGGAUGAAGGCUAGACAACGGGGUGCAACCAUUCAGCAAAAGUAUUUAUGCAAAAAGGUCAUUGAUCUUCUAAAUGAAGCUUGGAACAAGUUCAACUAAGAAGAGAGGUAGGCAGUAGCCAAGUCAUCAAGCCGGCUAUAGUGUUGCUGCAACUGUUGUAAUUUUAUACCAUUUCUAAGUCAGGGUUUGUUCCCCUUUGCCGAUCUUUUACAAAUCUUUACACUUUAGCUUUGUGAAUGUAAGCUCCAAGAAAUUUGAAUUUUAAACAUAUUUCAGCUCCUACUAUAUAAAGAGGUAGUAACUCUA
Ipomoea nil (Japanese morning glory) is the source of this 697-nucleotide long non-coding RNA. RefSeq lists it as uncharacterized. NCBI's taxonomy places the organism in Eukaryota, Viridiplantae, Streptophyta, Magnoliopsida, Solanales, Convolvulaceae. The record is from RefSeq and is a predicted model, not a curated record. The transcript has 4 exons.